AAUGCCCAUAGCUGGGUUGUAUGUUAUUGCAUGUUUAGUAAGAUUCUGCCAUACUCUUUUCCAAAGUGGCUCUAACAUUCACAUUCCCACUAGCGAU
This 97-nucleotide microRNA precursor is filed under the name Marmota monax (woodchuck). Lineage: Eukaryota; Metazoa; Chordata; Mammalia; Rodentia; Sciuridae. The record is from RNAcentral.